AUUGAACGCUGGCGGCAUGCUUUACACAUGCAAGUCGGACGGCAGCACAGAGAAGCUUGCUUCUUGGGUGGCGAGUGGCGAACGGGUGAGUAACAUAUCGGAACGUACCGAGCAGUGGGGGAUAACUAAUCGAAAGAUUAGCUAAUACCGCAUAUUUUCUGAGGAAGAAAGCAGGGGACCUUUGGGCCUUGCGCUGUUUGAGCGGCCGAUAUCUGAUUAGCUAGUUGGUGGGGUAAAGGCCUACCAAGGCGACGAUCAGUAGCGGGUCUGAGAGGAUGAUCCGCCACACUGGGACUGAGACACGGCCCAGACUCCUACGGGAGGCAGCAGUGGGGAAUUUUGGACAAUGGGCGCAAGCCUGAUCCAGCCAUGCCGCGUGUCUGAAGAAGGCCUUCGGGUUGUAAAGGACUUUUGUCAGGGAAGAAAAGGGCGGGGUUAAUACCCCUGCCUGAUGACGGUACCUGAAGAAUAAGCACCGGCUAACUACGUG
Molecule: ribosomal RNA, 490 nt
Filed under: uncultured bacterium
Lineage: Bacteria
Description: partial 16S ribosomal RNA
Rfam family: Bacterial small subunit ribosomal RNA
Source: RNAcentral